UAAGGGACGAAAGCGUGGGGAGCAAACAGGAUUAGAUACCCUGGUAGUCCACGCCGUAAACGAUGAUCAUUAGUUGGUGGCAAAAGUCACUAACACAGCUAACGCGUUAAAUGAUCCGCCUGAGUAGUAUGCUCGCAAGAGUGAAACUUAAAGGAAUUGACGGGAACCCGCACAAGCGGUGGAGCAUGUGGUUUAAUUUGAUGAUACGCGUAGAACCUUACCCACUCUUGACAUUCUCGCAAAACUAUAGAGAUAUAGCCGAGGCUAACGAGAUCACAGAUGGUGCAUGGUUGUCGUCAGCUCGUGUCGUGAGAUGUUAGGUUAAGUCCUGCAACGAGCGCAACCCUUUUCUUUAGUUGCUAACAUUUAGUUGAGAACCCUAAAGAUACUGCCGGCGCAAGCCGGAGGAAGGUGGGGACGACGUCAAAUCAUCAUGCCUCUUACGAGUGGGGCAACACACGUGCUACAAUGGCUACUACAAAGAGCAGCAAAACAGUGAUGUCAAGCUAAUCUCAAAAAAGUAGUCUCAGUUCGGAUUGAAGUCUGCAACUCGACUUCAUGAAGUCGGAAUCGCUAGUAAUCGCAGGUCAGCUAUACUGCGGUGAAUACGUUCUCGGGUUUUGUACACACCGCCCGUCACACCAUGGGAGUUGGUAAUGCCCAAAGUCGGUGAGUUAACUUCGGAGACCAUUGCCUAAGGCAGGACCGAUGACUGGGGUGAAGUCGUAACAAGGUAUCCCUACGAGAACGUGGG
RNAcentral lists this ribosomal RNA (754 nucleotides) under Mesomycoplasma hyopneumoniae. Its description in RNAcentral is "bacterial SSU rRNA". It matches the Rfam family "Bacterial small subunit ribosomal RNA", at positions 747 to 1516 of the family's 1533-position model. The record is from RNAcentral. Lineage: Bacteria; Bacillati; Mycoplasmatota; Mycoplasmoidales; Metamycoplasmataceae.